UAUGGUUAUCUCUCUAUUGCAUAAGAUGCAAGCACCAAAUAAUUGCUUUACUUUAUCGCUAUGCGAUAGCAAUAGUUGCAAGAGCAAUUGUUGGCGAGACAACCAUGUGACGACACAUUGAUAUAGAUCAAGAUGAUGGAGAUCAUGGUGUCAUGCCGGUGACGAUGGAGAUCAUGACGAUGCUUUGGAGAUGGAGAUCAAAGGCAGAAGAUGAUGAUGGCCAUAUCAUGUCACAUAUUAUGAUUGCAUGUGAUGUUUACCUUUUAUACAUCUUAUUUUGCUUAGUUCGGCGGUAGCUUUAUAAGAUAAUCUCUCACUAAAUUAUCAAGGUAUAAGUGUUCUCCCUGAGUAUGCACCGUUGCGAAAGUUCUUCGUGCUGAGACACCACGUGAUGAUCGGGUGUGAUAGGCUCUACGUUCAAAUACAAUGGGUGCAAAACAGUUGCACACGCGGAAAACUCGGGUUAAACUUGACGAGCCUAGCAUAUAACAGAUAUGGCCUCGGAACACGGAGACUGAAAGGUCGAGCAUGAAUCAUAUAGUAGAUAUGAUCAACAUAGCGAUGUUCACCAUUGAAACUACUCCAUCUCACAUGAUGAUCGGACAUGGUUUAGUUGAUAUGGAUCACAUGAUCACUUAGAAGAUUAGAGGGAUGUCUGUCUAAGUGGGAGUUCUUAAGUAAUAUGAUUAAUUGAACUUUAAUUUAUCAUGAACUUAGUCCUGGUAGUAUUAGCAUAUCUAUGUUGUAGAUCAAUAGCUUGCGAUGUUUCUCCCAGUUUAUUGUGUUCCUAGAGAAAAAUUAUGUUGAAAAAUGUUAGUAGCAAUGAUGCGGAUUGGAUCCAUGAUCUGAGGAUUAUCCUCACUGCUGCACAGAAGAAUUAUGUCUUUGAUGCACCGCUAGGUGACAUACCUAUUGCAGGAGUAGUUGUAGACGUUAUGAACGUUUGGCUAGCUCAAUAUGAUGACUACUUGAUAGUUUAGUGCACCAUGCUUAACGGCUUAGAAUCGGGACUUCAAAGACGUUUUGAAUGUCAUGGACCAUAUGAGAUGUUCCAGGAGUUGAAGUUAAUAUUUCAAGCAAAUACUCGAGUUGAGAGAUAUGAAGUCUUCAACAAGUUCUAUAGCUAAAAUAUGGAGGAGAAUAUCUGAAACAGUGAGCAUGUGCUCAGAUUGUCUGGGUACUACAAUUGCUUGAAUCAAGUGGGAGUUAAUCUUCCAGAUAAGAUAGUGAUUGACAGAAUUCUCUAGUCACCAUCACCAAGUUAGUAGAACUUCAUGAUGAACUAUGAUAUGCAAGGCAUAACGGAAACGAUUCCCAAGCUCUUUGUGAUGCUGAAAUCGACGAAGGUAGAAAUCAAGAAAAAUAUCAAGUGUUGAUGGUAGACAAGACCACUAGUUUCAAGAAAAGGGCAAAGGGAAGAAGGGGAACUUCAAGAAGAACGGCAAGCAAGUUGCUGCUCAAGUGAAGAAGCCCAAGUCUGGUCCUAAGCCUGAGACCAAGUGCUUCUACUGCAAAGGGACGGGUCACUGGAAGCGGAACUGCCCCAAGUAUUUGGCGGAUAAGAAGGAUGGCAAAGUGAACAAAGGUAUAUUUGAUAUACUGAUUAUUGAUGUGUAUUUUACUAGUGUUCAUGGCAACCCCUCGGUAUUUGAUACUGGUUCAGUUGCUAAGAGUAGUAACUUGAAACAGGAAUUGCAGAAUGAACAGAGACUAGUUAAGGGUGAAGUGACGAUGUGUGUUGGAAGUGGUUCCAAGAUUGAUAUGAUCACAUCACACACUCCCUAUACUUUCGGGAUAGUGUUGAACCUAAAUAAGUGUUAUUUGGUGUUUGCGUUGAGCAUGAAUAUGAUUUGAUCAUGUUUAUUGCAAUACGGUUAUUCAUUUAAGUAAGAGAAUAAAUUGUUGUUCUGUUUACAUGAAUAAAAUCUUAUAUGGUUACACACCCAAUGAAAAUGGUUCGUUGGAUCUCGAUCGUAGUGAUACACAUAUUCAUAAUAUUGAAACCAAAAGAUGCAAAGUUAAUAAUGAUAGUGCAACUUAUUUGUGGCACUGCCGUUUAGGUCAUAUUGGUGUAAAGCGCAUGAAGAAACUCCAUGCUGAUGGACUUUUGGAAUCACUUGAUGCUUGCGAACCAUGCCUCAUGGGCAAGAUGACUAAGACUCCGUUCUCCGGAACAAUGGGGCAAGCAACUAACUUAUUGGAAACAAUACAUACUGAUGUAUGCGGUCCGACGAGUGUUAAGGCUCACGGCAAGUAUCGUUAUUUUCUGACCUUCACAGAUGAUUUGAGCAGAUAUGGGUAUAUCUACUUGAUGAAACACAAGUCUAAAACACUUGAAAAGUUCAAAGAAUUUCAGAGUGAAGUGGAGAAUCAUCGUAACAAGAAAAUAAAAGUUUCUACGAUAUGAUCGCAGAGGUAAAAUAUUUGAGUUAAGUUUGGCCUUCAGUUAAAACAAUGUGAAAUAGUUUCACUACUCACGCCACCUGGAACACCACAGUGUAAUGGUGUGUCCGAACGUCAUAACCGUACUUUAUUAGAUAUGGUGCGAUCUAUGAUGUCUCUUACCGAUCUACCACUAUCGUUUUGGGGUUAUGCAUUAGAGACAACUGCAUUCACGUUAAAUAGGGCACCAUCUAAAUCCGUUGAGACGACGCCGUAUGAACUAUGGUUUGGCAAGAAACCUAAGCUGUCGUUUCUUAAAGUUUGAGGUUGCAAUGCUUAUGUGAAAAAGUUUCAACCUGAUAAGCUCAAACCCAAAUUGGAGAAGUGCGUCUUCAUAGGAUACCCAAAAGAAAAUAUUGGGUACACCUUCUAUCACAGAUCCGAAGGCAAGAUAUUCGUUGCUGAGAAUGGAUCCUUUCUAGAGAAGGAGUUUCUCUCGAAAGAAGUGAGUAGGAGGAAAGUAGAACUUGAUGACGUAACUGUACCUGCUCCCUUAUUAGAAAGUAGUUCAUCGCAGAAAUCUAUUCCUGUGACUACUACACCAAUUAGUGAGGAAGCUAAUGAUGAUGAUCAUGUAACUUCAGAUCAAGUUACUACAGAACCUUGUAGGUAAACCAGAGUGAGAUCCGCACCAGAGUGGUACAGUAAUCCUGUUCUGGAGGUCAUGUUACUUGACCAUGACGAGCCUACGAACUAUGAGGAAGCGAUGAUGAGCCCAGAUUCCGCAAAAUGGCUUGAGGCCAUGAAAUCUGAGAUGAGAUCCAUGUAUGAGAACAAAGUAUGGACUUUGAUUGACUUGCCCAUUGAUCGGCGAGCCAUUGAGAUUAAAUGGAUCUUCAAGAGGAAGACGGACGCUGAUAGUAGUGUUACUAUCUACAAAGCUAGAAUUGUCGCAAAAAGGUUUUCGACAAGUUCAAGGUGUUGACUAUGAUGAGAGUUUCUCAUUCGUAUAUAUGCUUAAGUCUGUCUGAAUCAUGUUAGCAAUUGCCGCAUUUUAUGAAAUCUGACAAAUGGAUAAACAAAACUGCAUUCCUUAAUGGAUUUAUCAAAGAAGAGUUGUAUAUGAUGCAACCAGAAGGUUUUGUCAAUCCUAAAGGUACUAACAAAAUAUGCAAGCUCCAGCGAUCCAUUUAUGGAUUGGUGCAAGCAUCUCGGAGUUGGAAUAUACGCUUUGAUAAGUUAAUCAAAGCAUAUAGUUUUAUACAUACUUGCGGUGAAGCCUAUAUUUAUAAGAAAGUGAGUGGGAGCACUACAGCAUUUCUGAUAAGUAUAUGUGAAUGACAUAUUGUUUCGGAGAUAAUGUAGAAUUAUUCUGCAAAGCAUAAAGGAAUGUUUGAAAGGAGUUUUUUAAAGAAAGACCUCGGUGAAGCUGCUUACAUAUUGAGCAUCAAGAUCUAUAGAGAUAGAUCAAGACGCUUGAUAAGUUUUUCAAUGAGUACAUACCUUGACAAGAUUUUGAAGUAGUUCAAAAUGGAACAGUCAAAGAAGGAGUUCUUGCCUAUGUUACAAGGUGUGAAGUUGAGUAAGACUCAAAACCCGACCUCAGCAGAAGAUAGAGAGAGAAUGAAAGUCAUUCCCUAUGCCUCAGCCAUAGGUUCUAUAAAGUAUGACAUGCUGUGUACCAGACCUAUUGUAUACCCUACCCUGAGUUUGGCAAGGGAGUACACUAGUGAUCUAGGAGUAGAUCACUGGACAUUGGUCAAAAUUAUCCUUAGUGGAAUAAGGAUAUGUUUCUCGAUUAUGGAGGUGACAAAAGGUUCGUUGUAAAGGGUUACGUUGAUGCAAGUUUUGACACUGAUCCAGAUGACUCAAAGUCUCAAUCUGCAUACAUAUUGAAAGUGGGAGCGAUUAGCUAGAGUAGCUCCGUGCAGAGCAUUGUUGACAUAGCAAUUUGCAAAAUACAUACGGAUCUAAAUGUGGCAGACCCGUUGACUAAACUUCCUCACAAGCAAAACAUGAUCACACCUUAGUACUCUUUGGGUAUUAAUCACAUAGCGAUGUGAACUAGAUUAUUGACUCUAGUAAACCCUUUGGGUAUUGGUCACAUGACGAUGUGAACUAUAGGUGUUAAUCACAUGGUAAUGUGAACUAUUGAUGUUAAAUCACAUGGCGAUGUGAACUAGAUUAUUGACUCAAGUGCAAGUGGGAGACUAAAGGAAAUAUGCCCUAUAGGCAAUAAUAAAGUUAUUAUUUAUUUCCUUAUAUCAUGAUAAAUGUUUAUUAUUCAUGCUAGAAUUGUAUUAACCGGAAACAUAAUACAUGUGUGAAUACAUAGACAAACAGAGUGUCACUAGUAUGCCUCUACUUGACUAGCUCGUUAAUAAAAGAUGGUUAUGUUUCCUAACCAUGAACAAAGAGUUGUUAUUUGAUUAACGGGAUCACAUCAUUAGGAGAAUUAUGUGAUUGACUUGACCCAUUCUGUUAGCUUAGCACUUGAUCGUUUAGUUUGUUGCUAUUGCUUUCUUCAUGACUUAUACAUGUUCCUAUGACUAUGAGAUUAUGCAACUCCCGUUUACCGGAGGAACACUUUGUGUGCUACCAAACAUCACAACGUAACUGGGUGAUUAUAAAGGUGCUCUAUAGGUGUCUCCAAAGGUACUUGUUGGGUUGGCGUAUUUCGAGAUUAGGAUUUGUCACUCCGAUUGUCGGAGAGGUAUCUCUAGGCCCACUCGGUAAUGCACAUCACUAUAAGCCUUGCAAGCAUUGAAACUAAUAAGUUAGUUGCGCGAUGAUGUAUUAUGGAACGAGUAAAGAGACUUGCCGGUAACGAGAUUGAACUAGGUAUUGAGAUACCGACAAUCGAAUCUCGGGCAAGUGACAUACCGAUGACAAAGGGAAUAACGUAUGUUGUUAUGCGGUCUGACCGAUAAAGAUCUUCGUAGAAUAUGUAGGAGCCAAUAUGAGCAUCCAGGUUCCGCUAUUGGUUAUUAACCGGAGAAUUGUCUCGGUCAUGUCUACAUAGUUCUCGAACCCGUAGGGUCCGCACGCUUAAUGCUACGAUGACAGUUAUAUUAUGAGUUUUAUGUUUUGAUGUACCGAAGGUUGUUCGGAGUACCGUAUGUGAUCACGGACAUGACGAGGAGUCUCCAAAUGGUCGAGACAUGAAGAUUGAUAUAUUGGAAGCCUAUGUUUGGAUAUCGGAAGUGUUCCGGGUGAAAUCGGGAUUUUACCGGAGUACCGGGGGGUUACCGGAACCCCCCGGGGGCUUACUGGGCCUACAUGGGCCUUAGUGGAAAAGGAGGGAAGCAAGGGAAGUGUGGGGCGCCCCCCCCCCCAAGGCCCAAACCGAAUUGGUUUAGGGCAAAGGGGGCCGGGCCCCCUCUUUCGUUCUUCCCCCUCCCAAGUCCUAAUCCAACUAGGGAAAGGGGGGGUCCUACUCCCGGCGGGAGUAGGACUCCUCCGGCGCGCCUCUCCCCUUGGCCGGCCACACCCCCCUUUCUCCUUUAUAUACAGGGGCAGGGGGCACCCCAUAGACACAACAAGUUGAUCAAGUUGAUCGUCUCUUAGCCGUGUGCGGUGCCCCCCUCCACCAUAGUCCACCUCGAUAAUACUGUAGCGGUGCUUAGGCGAAGCCCUGCGUCGGUAGAACAUCAUCAUCGUCACCACACCGUCGUGCUGACGAAACUCUCCCUCAACACUCGGCUGGAUCGGAGUUCGAGGGACGUCAUCGGGUUGCACGUGUGCUGAACUCGGAGGUGCCGUGCGUUCGGUACUUGAUCUGUCGGAUCGUGAAGACGUACGACUACAUCAACCGCGUUAUGAUAACGCUUCCGCUUUCGGUCUAUGAGGGUACGUAGACAAUACUCUCCCCUCUCGUUGCUAUGCAUCACCAUGAUCUUGCGUGUGCGUAGGAAAUUUUUUGAAAUUACUAUGUUCUCCAACAGUACUCCUACAUGGCCUCUCAUCGCUACCUUUACCAAAACGUGUUCACACACUUAGCCUUUAUCAGUAGGACAUGUUCACCACUCCGAUUCAUUCCCGAUGAAUCAGACCUGACACAACUCUAAGCAUAGCUGGCAUAAAGAAAACAAGCAUGGAUGAGUAGGCACAUCAAGGCUCAAGCAACUCCUAAUCAUGCUAGUGGGUUUCAACUAUUUACUGUGGCAAUGACAGGUCAUGCAGAGGAAUGGGUUCAACUACCGCAGAAGAAAAGUAGCAGUUGAAUCGUUGUUGUCCUAAUGCAGUAUAAGGAGCAGGAGCGAGAGAGUGGGAUUUUAUCGAAAUGCUCAAGGGGGAUUGCUUGCCUGAUAGAUCAACGAAGGGCACUGCUCCUCCGACAGUUACUCGGGAACACCUUCCGGAGUAGAACCUAUUGAGAAGAAACGGUGUCGGCAAUCAAUACACAAAAAAUGCAACAAUAUGAUGCAUGAACAUGAUAUGUGCAAAUGCUAGUGUUUGGGCUAAUGCAAGAUGCUACCAAGUUGGUUGAAGCCCAUUUGAAUCAAAGAUUCAAAUGCAAAUUCAAAAUGAAGCAUUUAAAAUGCCCACAUUAUGAUUUCACUUAUACAGCAUGUAUAAGUUGGUUUUUCAUGCAUGGAACUGGCAUAAAUGGAUUCCUUGCAUUUUUUUGAUAAUUUUUAAUAUAUAAAUUAUUUCAUUCUGAGCUACGGUUGAUUUCUAUGAAUUUUUGAAGUUUAGCUAAUUUUCUGGAAUUUCCUGAUUUAUUUUAAUACCAGAAAAUGAAUAGCUGCGUCAGCAUGACAGUGGCAUGACGUCAACGAGUCAAACGGGGCUGACCAGGUCAAACCUGACGUGUGGGGUCCACACGUCAGUGUCUCGGUUAAUUAACAGAGGUUAAUUAGCACUAACACUAACCUAACUACAGAUUUAGUCAGAGAUAGGCCCCACCUGUCAUUGAUGUUGGGGAACGUUGCAGAAAAUUAAAAUUUUUCCUACGGUUUCACCAAGAUCCAUCUAUGAGUUCAUCUAAGCAACGAGUCAAGGGAGAGAGUUAGCAUCUACAUACCACUUGUAGAUCGCGUGCGGAAGCUUGCAAGGUGAUGAUGUAGUCGUACUCGACGUGAUUCGAAUCACCGAUGACCAAGUGCUGAACGGACAGCACCUCCGCGUUCAGCACACGUACGGGACGGGAGACGUCUCCUCCUUCUUGAUCCAGCAAGGAGGAAGGAGAGGUUGAGGAAGACAGCUCCACCGGCAGCACGACGGCGUGGUGAUGGUGGAGAGGCAGUACUCCGACAGGGCUUUGCCAAGCACACAACGGAGGAGGAGAGGUGUUGGGGAGGGGAGGGCUGCGCCUUGGAGGAUGGUGCGGCUGCCCUCCCCUCACCCCUCUAUUUAUAGGGGGAAGGGAGAAGGGGGCCGGCCCCCUAGAACCCAUCUAGGGGGGGUGCGGCGGCCAAGGGGAGAGGGGGAGAGGGUGGCUUGCCCCCAAAGCCAAGGGGGGCGCCCCCUCUAGGGUUCCCCCCUCAACCCUAGGCGCAUGGGCCCAAGGGAGGGGGUGCGGCCAGCCCACCAGGGGCUGGCUCCCUGCCCCACGCAGCCCAUGUGCCCCCCGGGAGGGGUGGCCCCUCCCGGUGGACCCCCGGAACCCUUCCGGUGGCCCCGGUACAAUACCGGUAUGACCCCGAAACUUCCCGGUGUCCGUUUGACAACUUCCCAUAUAUAAAUCUUUACCUCCGGACCCUUCCGGAGCUCCUCGUGACGUCCAGGAUCCCAUCCGGGACUCCGAACAACAUUCGGUAGUCACAUACUAGUCUUCCUAAUGACCCUAGCGUCACCGAACCUUAAGUGUGUAGACCCUACGGGUUCGGGAGACAUGCAGACAUGACCGAGACGCUCUCAGGUCAAUAACCAACAGCGGGAUCUGGAUACCCAUGAUGGCUCCCACAUGCUCCUCGAUGUUGUCAUCGGAUGAACCACUAUGUCGAGGAUUCGAUCAAACCCUGUAUGCAAUUCCCUUUGUCAAUCGAUACGUUACUUGCCCGAGACUCGAUCGUCGGUAUCCCAAUACCUUGUUCAGUCUCGUUACCGGCAAGUCACUUUACUCGUACCGUAAUGCAUGAUCCCGUGUCCAACACCUUGGUCACAUUGAGCUCAUUAUGAUGAUGCAUUACCGAGUGGGCCCAAAGAUACCUCUCCGUCAUACGGAGUGACAAAUCCCAGUCUCGAUCCGUGUCAACCCAACAGCUACUUUCGGAGAUACCUGUAAUGCACCUUUAUAGUCAGCCAGUUACGUUGUGACGUUUGAUACACCCAAGGCACUCUUACGGUAUCCGGGAGUUACACGAUCUCAUGGUCAAAGGAAGAGAUACUUGACAUUGGCAAAGCUCUAGCAAAACGAACUACACGAUCUUUUAUGCUAUGCUUAGGAUUGGGUCUUGUCCAUCACAUCAUUCUCCUAAUGAUGUGAUCCCGUUAUCAACGACAUCCAAUGUCCAUAGUCAGGAAACCAUGACUAUCUGUUGAUCACAACGAGCUAGUCAACUAGAGGCUCACCAGGGACAUAUUGUGGUCUAAGUAUUCACACGUGUAUUACGAUUUCCGGAUAAUACAGUUAUAGCAUGAAUAAAAGACAUUUAUCAUGAACAUUGAAAUAUAAUAAUACUUUUAUUAUUGCCUCUAGGGCAUAUUUCCAACAGUCUCCCACUUGCACUAGAGUCACUAAUCUAGUUACAUUGUGAUGAAUCGAACACCCAUAGAGUUCUGGUGUUGAUCAUGUUUUGCACGCGAGAGAGGUUUAGUCAGCGGAUCUGCGACAUUCAGAUCCAUGUGCACUUUGCAAAUCUCUAUGUCUCCAUCUUGAACAUUUUCACGGAUGGAGUUGAAACGACGCUUGAUGUGCCUGGUCUUCUUGUGAAACCUGGGCUCCUUUGCGAGGGCAAUAGCUCCAGUGUUAUCACAGAAGAGUUUGAUCGGCCCCGACGCAUUGGGUAUGACUCCUAGGUCGGUGAUGAACUCCUUCACCCAAAUCGCUUCAUGCGCUGCCUCCGAGGCUGCCAUGUACUCCGCUUCACACGUAGAUCCCGCCACGACGCUCUGCUUGCAGCUGCACCAGCUUACUGCUCCACCAUUCAACAUAUACACGUAUCCGGUUUGUGACUUAGAGUCAUCCAGAUCUGAGUCGAAGCUAGCGUCGACGUAACCCUUUACGACGAGCUCUUCGUCUCCUCCAUAAACGAGAAACAUGUCCUUCGUCCUUUUCAGGUACUUCAGGAUAUUCUUGACCGCUGUCCAGUGUUCCUUGCCGGGAUUACUUUGGUAUCUUGCUACCAAACUUACGGCAAGGUUUACAUCGGGUCUGGUACACAGCAUGGCAUACAUAAUAGAUCCUAUGGCUGAAGCAUAGGGGAUGACACUCAUCUCUUAUUUAUCUUUUGCCGUGGUCGGUGACUGAGCCGAGCUCAGUCUCACACCUUGUAACAUAGGCAAGAACCCCUUCUUGGACUGAUCCAUUUUGAACCUCUUCAAAAUCUUAUCAAGGUAUGUGCUUUGUGAAAGACCUAUGAGGCGUCUCGAUCUAUCUCUAUAGAUCUUGAUGCCUAAUAUAUAAGCAGCUUCUCCAAGGUCCUUCAUUGAAAAACACUUAUUCAAGUAGGCCUUAAUGCUGUCCAGAAAUUCUAUAUUAUUUCCCAUCAAGAGUAUGUCAUCUACAUAUAAUAUGAGAAAUGCUACAGAGCUCCCACUCACUUUCUUGUAAACGCAGGCUUCUCCAUAAGUCUGCAUAAACCCAAAUGCUUUGAUCAUCUCAUCAAAGCGAAUGUUCCAACUCCGAGAUGCUUGCACCAGUCCAUAAAUGGAUCGCUGGAGCUUGCAUACUUUGUUAGCGUUCCGAGGAUCGACAAAACCUUCCGGCUGCAUCAUAUACAGCUCUUCCUUAAGAUGUCCGUUAAGGAAUGCCGUUUUGACGUCCAUCUGCCAUAUCUCAUAAUCAUAGUAUGCGGCAAUUGCUAACAUGAUUCGGACGGACUUCAGCUUCGCUACGGGAGAGAAAGUCUCGUCGUAGUCAAUCCCUUGAACUUGUCGAUAACCCUUAGCGACAAGUCGAGCCUUAUAGAUGGUAACAUUACCAUCCGCGUCCGUCUUCUUCUUAAAAAUCCAUUUGUUUUCUAUCGCUCGCCGAUCAUCGGGCAAGUCUAUCAAAGUCCAUACUUUGUUUUCAUACAUGGAUUCUAUCUCGGAUUUCAUGGCUUCAAGCCAUUUGUUGGAAUCCGGGCCCGCCAUCGCUUCUUCAUAGUUCGAAGGUUCAUUGUUGUCUAACAACAUGAUUUCUAGGACAGGGUUGUCGUACCACUCUGGUGCGGAACGCGUCCUUGUGGACCUACGAAGUUCAGUAGUAACUUGAUCCGAAGUACCUUGAUCAUCAUCAUUGUUUUCCUCUUCAGUUGGUGUGGGCAUCACAGGAACGGUUUCCUGCGCUGCGCCACUUUCCCGCUCAAGAGGUAGUACUUCAUCGAGUUCUACUUUCCUCCCACUUACUUCUUUCGAGAGAAACUCUUUUUCCAGAAAGCAUCCGUUCUUGGCAACAAAGAUCUUGCCUUCGGAUCUUAAGUAGAAGGUAUACCCGACAGUUUCCUUAGGGUAUCCUAUGAAUACGCAUUUUUCCGACUUGGGUUCGAGCUUUUCAGGUUGAAGUUUCUUGACAUAAGCAUCGCAUCCUCAAACUUUUAGAAACGACAGCUUAGGUUUCUUUCCAAACCAUAAUUUAUACGGUGUCGUCUCAACGGAUUUAGACGGUGCCCUAUUUAAAGUGAAUGUUGCUGUCUCUAGAGCGUAUCCCCAAAAUGAUAGCGGUAAAUCGGUAAGAGACAUCAUAGACCGCACCAUAUCCAAUAGAGUGCGAUUACGACGUUCGGAAACACCGUUUCGCUGAGGUGUUCCAGGCGGCGUGAGUUGUGAAACGAUUCCACAUUUCCUUAAGUGUGUACCAAAUUCGUGACUUAAGUAUUCUCCUCCACGAUCUGAUCGUAAGAAUUUUAUCUUUCGGUCAUGUUGAUUCUCUACCUCAUUCUGAAAUUCUUUGAACUUUUCAAAGGUCUCAGACUUGUGUUUCAUUAAGUAGACAUACCCAUAUCUACUCAAGUCAUCAGUGAGAGUGAGAACAUAACGAUAUCCUCCGCGAGCCUCAACGCUCAUUGGACCGCACACAUCGGUAUGUAUGAUUUCCAACAAGUUGGUUGCUCGCUCCAUUGUUCCGGAGAACGGAGUCUUGGUCAUUUUGCCCAAGAGGCAUGGUUCGCACGUGUCAAACGAUUCAUAAUCAAGAGACUCUAAAAGUCCAUCGGCAUGGAGCUUCUUCAUGCGCUUGACACCAAUGUGACCAAGGCGGCAGUGCCACAAGUAUGUGGGACUAUCGUUAUCAACUUUAAAUCUUUUGGCAUCUACACUAUGAACAUGUGUAAUAUUACGCUCGAGAUUCAUUAAGAAUAAACCAUUGACCAUCGGAGCAUGACCAUAAAACAUAUCUCUCAUAUAAAUCGAACAACCAUUAUUCUCUGACUUAAAUGAGUAGCCAUCUCGUAUUAAAUGAGAUCCAGAUACAAUGUUCAUGCUCAAGCUUGGCACUAAAUAACAAUUAUUAAGGUUCAAAACUAAUCCCGUAGGUAAAUGUAGAGGUAGCGUGCCGACGGCGAUCACAUCGACUCUGGAACCAUUCCCGACGCGCAUAGUCACCUCGUCCUUCGCCAGUCUCCGUUUAUUCCGCAGCUCCUGCUGUGAGUUACAAAUAUGAGCAACGGCACCGGUAUCAAAUACCCAGGAGUUACUACGAGUACUGGUGAGGUACACAUCAAUCACAUGUAUAUCAAAUAUACCUUUGGUGUUGCCUGCCUUCUUAUCCGCUAAGUAUUUGGGGUAGUUCCGCUUCCAGUGACCCUUCCCCUUGCAAUAAAAGCACUCAGUCUCAGGCUUAGGUCCAUUCUUUGACUUCUUCCCGGUAACUGGCUUACCAGGCGCGGCAACCUCCUUGCCGUCCUUCUUGAAGUUCUUCUUACCCUUGCCCUUCUUGAACUUAGUGGUCUUAUUGACCAUCAACACUUGAUGUUCUUUCUUGAUUUCAGCCUCUGCUGACUUCAGCAUCGAGAACACUUCAGGAAUGGUAUUUUCCAUCCCCUGCAUGUUGUAGUUCAUCACAAAGCUCUUGUAGCUUGGUGGGAGCGACUGGAGGAUUCUGUCAAUGACCGCCUCAUCUGGGAGGUUAAUGUUCAGCUGGGUCAUACGGUUGUGCAACCCAGACAUCUUCAGGAUGUGCUCACUGACAGAACUAUUUUCCUCCAUCUUACAACUGUAGAACUUGUCGGAGACAUCAUAUCUCUCGACCCGGGCAUGAGCUUGAAAAACUAGUUUCAGCUCUUCGAACAUCUCAUAUGCUCCGUGGUGCUCAAAACGCUUUUGGAGCCCCGGUUCUAAGUUGUAAAGCAUGCCGCACUGAACGAGGGAGUAAUCAUCAGCACGAGACUGCCAAGCAUUCAUAAUGUCUUGGUUCUCUGGGACGGGAGCGUCACCUAGCGGUCCUUCUAGGACAUAUUGUUUCCUGGAAGCUAUGAGGAUGAUCCUCAGGUUCCGGACCCAGUCCGUAUAGUUGCUGCCAUCAUCUUUCAGCUUGGUUUUCUCUAGGAACGCGUUGAAGUUCAUGUUGACAUUAGCGUUGGCCAUUGAUUUACAAGACAUAUUUGCAAAGGUUUUAGACUAAGUUCAUGAUAAUAAAGUUCUAAUCAAAUUAUGAACUCCCACUUAGAUUAGACAUCCCUCUAGUCAUCUAAGUGUUACACGAUCCGAGUCGACUAGCCCGUGUCCGAUCAUCACGUGAGACGGACUAGUCAUCGUCGGUGAACAUUCUCAUGUUGAUCGUAUCUUCCAUACGAUUCGUGUUCGACCUUUCGGUCUCCGUGUUCCGAGGCCAUGUCUGCACAUGCUAGGCUCGUCAAGUUAACCCUAAGUGUUUUUGCUGUGUAAAACUGUCUUACACCCAUUGUAUGUGAACGUAAGAAUCCAUCACACCCGAUCAUCACGUGGUGCUUAGAAGCGACGAACUGUAGCAACGGUGCACAGUUAGGGGAGAACACUUCUUGAAAUUUUAUAAGGGAUCAUCUUAUUUACUACCGUCGUCCUAAGUAAACAAGAUGCAUAAUACAUAAUAAACAUCACAUGCAAUUAUAUAGUUGUGACAUGAUAUGGCCAAUAUCAUAUAGCUCCAUUGAUCUUCAUCUUCGGGGCUCCAUGAUCAUCUUGUCACCGGCUUGACACCAUGAUCUCCAUCAUCAUGAUCUCCAUCAUCGUGUCUUCAUGAAGUUGUCACGCCAACGACUACUUCUACUUCUAUGACUAACGUUUAGCAAUAAAGUAAAGUAGUUUACAUGGCGUUCUUCAAUGACACGCAGGUCAUACAAAAAAUAAAGACAACUCCUAUGGCUCCUGCCGGUUGUCAUACUCAUCGACAUGCAAGUCGUGAAUCCUAUUACAAAGAACAUGAUCUCAUACAUCACAAUUCAUCAUUCAUCACAACUUCUGGCCAUAUCACAUCACAUGAUCAAUUGCUGCAAAAACAAGUUAGACGUCCUCUAAUUGUUGUUGCAUCUUUUACGUGGCUGCAAUUGGGUUCUAGCAAGAACGUUUUCUUACCUACGAAUCACCACAACGUGAUUUUGUCAACUUCUAUUUACCCUUCAUAAGGGCCCUGUUCAUCGAUUCCGCUCCAACUAAAGUGGGAGAGACAGACACCCGCCAGCCACCUUAUGCAACUUGUGCAUGUCAGUCGGUGGAACCGGUCUCACGUAAGCGUACGUGUAAGGUUGGUCCGGGCCGCUUCAUCCCACAAUACCGUUGAGCAAGAAAAGACUAGUAGAGGCAAGUAAGAUGACAAAAUCCACGCCCACAACAAAGUUGUGUUCUACUCGUGCAAAGAGAACUACGCAUAGACCUAGCUCAUGAUGCCACUGUUGGGAACGUUGCAGAAAAUUAAAAUUUUUCCUACGGUUUCACCAAGAUCCAUCUAUGAGUUCAUCUAAGCAACGAGUCUAGGGAGAGAGUUUGCAUCUACAUACCACUUGUAGAUCGCGUGCGGAAGCUUGCAAGGUGAUGAUGUAGUCGUACUCGACGUGAUUCAAAUCACCGAUGACCUGCGCCGAACGGACGGCACCUCCGCGUUCAACACACGUACGGAAACAGCCACGUCUCCUCCUUCUUGAUCCAGCAAGGAAGGGAGGAGAGGUUGAGGGAGAUGGCACCAGCAGCAGCACGACGGCGUGGUGUUGGUGGAGCUGCAGUACUCCGGCAGAGCUUCGCUAAGCGCUAUGGAGUUGGAGGAGGUGUUGGGGAGGGAGAAGGAGGCAACCAAAGGCCAGGGCACAAGGUAUGAAGUCCCUCCUCUCCCCCCCACUAUAUAUAGGGGUGCCAAGGGGGGGUGGCCGGCCCUAGGAGAUCAAAUCUCCUAGGGGGUGCGGCGGCCAAGGGGGGAUUCCCUCCCCCCCAAGGCACCUAGGAGGUGCCUUCCACUAGUAGGACUCCUCCCCCUUGGAAACCCUAGGCGCAUGGGCCUUGUGGGGCUGGUGCCCUUGGCCCAUGUAGGCCAAGGCGCACCCCCUACAGCCCAUGUGGCCCCCGGGGAUGGGUGGCCCCACCCGGUGGGCCCCCGGGACCCCUCCGGUGGUCCCGGUACAAUACCGAUAACCCCGAAACUUGUCCCGAUGCCCGAAACAGGACUUCCCAUAUAUAAAUCUUUACCUCCGGACCAUUCCGGAACUCCUCGUGACGUCCGGGAUCUCAUCCGGGACUCCGAACAACAUUCGGGUUACUGCAUAUACUUAUCCCUACAACCCUAGCGUGACUGAACCUUAAGUGUGUAGACCCUACGGGUUCGGGAGACAUGUAGACAUGACCGAGACUCUCUUAGUCAAUAACCAUCAGCGGGAUCUGGAUACCCAUGAUGGCUCCCACAUGCUCCUCGAUGUUGUCAUCGGAUGAACCACUAUGUCGAGGAUUCGAUCAAAACCCUGUAUGCAAUUCCCUUUGUCAAUCGGUACGUUACUUGCCCGAGACUUGAUCGUCGGUAUCCCAAUACCUUGUUCAGUCUCGUUACCGGCAAGUCACUUUACUCGUACCGUAAUGCAUGAUCCCGUGUCCAACACCUUGGUCACAUUGAGCUCAUUAUGAUGAUGCAUUACCGAGUGGGCCCAGAGAUACCUCUCCGUCAUACGGAGUGACAAAUCCCAGUCUCGAUCCGUGUCAACCCAACAGCUACUUUCGGAGAUACCUGUAAUGCACCUUUAUAGUCACCCAGUUACGUUGUGACGUUUGAUACACCCAAGGCACUCUUACGGUAUCCGGGAGUUACACGAUCUCAUGGUCGAAGGAAGAGAUACUUGACAUUGGCAAAGCUCUAGCAAAACGAACUACACGAUCUUUUAUGCUAUGCUUAGGAUUGGGUCUUGUCCAUCACAUCAUUCUCCUAAUGAUGUGAUCUCGUUAUCAACGACAUCCAAUGUCCAUAGUCAGGAAACCAUGACUAUCUGUUGAUCACAACGAGCUAGUCAACUAGAGGCUCACCAGGGACAUAUUGUGGUCUAAGUAUUCACACGUGUAUUACGAUUUCCGGAUAAUACAGUUAUAGCAUGAAUAAAAGACAUUUAUCAUGAACAUUGAAAUAUAAUAAUACUUUUAUUAUUGCCUCUAGGGCAUAUUUCCAACAAUUGACUCAUACGGGUCAAAUCUGGUCAACUGGGGGGUCAAACCCAGUCAACCCGCUGGCGUUUAGCCGCCGGCGAGGCCGAACGCGGCGGAGGGGCACAUGAUUCGCUUUUCGGCGACCAUUUGGACGGCGGAGUCCAUGGGCGAGGAGCCAGGGCUCGUCCGCGUCUUCUGGAGCAAGCGGGAGAGGCGGGGUGGCCUGAGCUCGCCGGAAACGAGCUCGGGCGGCGGCCGGAGCACGGCCAGGUGCGUGCGGGGUGCUGCGGGGCACGGCAGGAGCUGUGGGCGGCGGCGUUGGUCUUCUGGGAGGUUGCUGAGUGCGGUGGCCCUGGCCACGGCGGCGACAUGGCCGACGGCGUGGCGCUCGCGGGUUUGAUGGUUAACAGGGCUACGGCACGAAAUCGAGCACGGGGAAGGAGGGGAAACGGAGGAGAGCUCACAGCGGUCUCGACGGCGUCAUGCGUGAGCUCGGGGAUGCACUGGUGCGGCCGGAAUGACGGCGGCGAUCUCGAGCGGCCGGAGGUGAAGACGACAAUGGUGGCGGCGAUGCAGCGCGUCCCUGGUCGCUUGGCUCCUCGAGGAUGAUGCAGGCGACGAGGCGGGGCACCCGGACACGAAGAGAGGGCGAGGGGAAGGCGGUGGCCGCGCGGGUAGCGAGCGGCGGCGACGAGCUCCGCUCGGGCGGGUCGAGAGAGAGGGAUCCAGAGGAGGAGGGAGAACGAGAGAGAGUGAGAGAGGCCUGGGGGGUCUGGCGUUCGUAGCGGCCUCCAGCAGCAGCGGCAAGCAGGAGCUGGCCGAGCACGUGCGCGCGUGCGGCGAGCACACGCCCCUGUCCUCCUGGCGAGAGGAGAGGGACGAUUGGCAGGGCCAGCUGGCUGGGCCGGCCAGCUGGGCCGCACAGUGCCAUGCCUCAAGUGAGCACAGGUAAGUUUUUCCAUUUCCGUUCCCUUUUCUAUUUUUCUGACAUUUGUUUGAUUUAAAAAUAAUACCAAACUAAUUUAUAUUCUUAUGUCAAUUUUUGUAGGAGCUAGUGGUAUUAUUCCAGAGCUCCUCAUUAACUAGCAUAAUUUUUGGACAAUAUUAUAUAUAUAACAAUAUAUAUCCAAAACAAAUCAUUACUGCAUUAAUUUCAAAUGCCCAAAAUAAAUAUCUAUGAGCUCCUGGAAAUAUUGGUUUGAAUUUUAACUCUGACCAAUAUUUUCAGAGAGUAACAUGAACAUUUUCUUGAACCUUUUUGGAGUAAUUUUUAUCUGGGUCAUUUUCAGAAAUGAUUUCUAAGGGUUUCACAAAUCUCCAUUUCAAAUUUAAAUGAAAUUUAAAUAUGAUGCACACAUGACUGGCUAGUCUAGGUCAUACCAGAACUAGGGAUGUGACAAAAAACAACCAAACGGGCUAGACAUGCGCGUUACACAGGCCGAAACAAGACAACCCACUUCCAGCGCGAAUCUUGAAGCGAACAAAGAUCCAACGGAUGACGUGUCGACUGAGAUUUAGCGAGUCCAUUAUUGAUACCUUCAUUCAUGGGUAGUUUUAAUGCUUAAAUCAUUUAAGUAAUAAAGCGCCCUUUUCUGGAAAAAGAUCAUGGGUAAUCUUAUGACGGACGAACAUAAGCAAUAUAUGUUUUAUUAUUACUAGCAUAGAUGCCCGUGCGUUGCAACGGGAAACAAAAAAACCUGACUUCACUAACCCAAUGCUCAAGACCGCCUCCUCCUCUCACCAUGACCCAUCAUCAGACAUGAUGUCAUCAACAAACUCCUUGAAAUCCUCCACACUGCCACACGAGAAACAGAAUAAAUAUUAGGAGCGUUGUCCAAAGACCCUCCAUCUUUGGCUAAUAUAACAGAGUAAAGUGCGGAGUUUGUGUCACACACAGUAGGAACUCCGUGUCCAACUCCUUGUACUUUGGUGGCGGGCGCUAGUGGGUCGAGCUGAAACAUAAUAGUGAAGAUUUGUUUUGGUCUUAGAAAAAUAUAUCAUAUGACCAACAAAUAAUAAAAAGUUUUUAUUGUGAUUUAGACAUAGUUUUUUUGCAUGUGUUAUCGCAAUAUUUUGAUCUUGAGUUAAACAGUUUUGACACGUCAAAUAUUAGUAUCACAAUAUUGUAUCUUGGUUUUUGACGUCAAUAAUUCAUAUAUAAAGAAGUAGUUUACCCAUGGCAGGUGCACCUAAACACAACACCUCUCAAUUUAGCUAAAAAAUGCGGUUUAAGAUGAUUUAGACACAAAGAAGAAAUUCAUCAGUUCAAUAACUGAAUAAGCCUCGGAGCAUGUAGAAAAACUAUGACAUUUUUGGGCCAUAAUUACCAAAUGUCGUGUAUAUGGGGUGAAGCAAUUCUUGGUCUUUGUUCAUUUAAAAUGGUAUUUAAUUUUUCUUGUCGAAUAUCUUAUUGUUUUUCAACAAACAUAUAUUCUAAUUAGAUUGGAAUCGCAUUAUAAUUUAAUUUAACUUUAAACUUAUGUUUUGUUUUACUGGUUAAAUUUUACAUUUAAUCCCUGUAACUUAAUUUUAAAUAACAGAAAUAUAUUUAAUACUUUAUUUCUUGUAUAUUAUUUUGCAAUUCACAUGUAAAUGAAGUUGUAUUUUUUAUCCAUGCAAUUAAUAAAAUAUGUCUAAUAUUAUUAUCGGAAAUUAUAAUGCACGGAUGUGUCUGCUCAUCCCUUCAAGCGCGAUAGGCGCCACGCCAUUUAAUGUGUGAGACCGGUCAAGCGUGUGAUAAUGAUUCGAUUGCUUGCUAUUGUCAUGUCCCCGUGGAUGAUGUUGUGUAAGUCGUGCGUUAGUGCAUCCCAUUAUGUUUUUUUGAACAACAUAAAAUCUUGAUCAAUCACGAUCUAAGUUUUUUUUUUUAAUGCAAAGGCAUCUAAUUUUGUAUGUGCUCACGUUAAUCUCAACUUGUAUGCACGUUUCCAUAAAAAAAACUUAUACAUAGAUCGGACCGGAUGCUCAUGUAUGAUGAUCCCAUUGCAUGUUACUGUCAUGGUUGCCGUGGGUGAGGACAGGGCGUCGACCUGUUGGCUGGGCAGCUGAGGUUGCUGCCAGCCCACCCAAGUUCGAGUCCCGGCACGGACGCGUGGUGCUCACGGAGUUUCUCCUAUAAAGAAAAGCCAACGAGGGUUAGCCCUUGGGUUGGUCUCAUUUUUUUUUUAUGGUUGCCGUGGGUGAUGCUCUGUAAAUCGCGCCUUAGUGCAUCGCAUUAGUUUUCUGAAAAACUCAAAAUGUUGAUUGAUCAUGAUCUAAGUUUCUUUUUUAUGGUGUGUUCUGAUGCACGGCACGCCAACGAAGGGGUUGCGCGUGAAAGCAAAAUUGUGUCUCUUGCGAAAGGAAAGAAACAGAAAACAUAUUUUUUCGUUUUUGAGAGGCACGGCCGUGACUCUUGCUAAAGUACAACCGUGCCUCUCGCGGAAACAAAACCGUGACUCUCGCGAAAGGAAAAAAAACAGAAAACACAUUUUUUUUCCGUUUCCGAGACGCACGGCCAUGACUCUCGCGAAAGCAUACCCAUGCCUCUCGCGGAGGCAAAACCGUGACUCUCGUGAAAGGAAAGGAAAAACAGAAAAUGUGUUUUUUUUCGUUUCCGAGAGGCACGACCAUGACUCUCGCGAAAGCACACCCGUGCCUCUCGCGGAAGCAAAACCGUGACUCUCGCGAAAGGAAAAAACAAAAAACGCGUUUUUUUCGUUUUCAAGAGGCACGGCCGUGACUCUCGCGAAAGCACACCCGUACCUCUCGUGGAAAAAAAAACAUGACUCUCGUGAAAGAAAAAACAAAAAAAAUGUGUUUUUUUGUUUCCGAGAGGCAUGCCCGUGGCUCUCGCGAAAGCCAAACCGUGACUCGCGAAAGGAAAAAAACGCGUUUUUUUGCGCAAUUUUUUUUAAAUCAAAAAUCUAAAGAAGACCAGCGAAAAAUCAGGACGUCGAAAAAACCCGUUUAAAAAGCCGAAAAGGCGUGCAGAAAUAAAACAAAAUCCGGAGCAAGCGCCGAAAGCGCGACACGUGGCGAAUGGCUGAGAGCGCGUCAAAUGGCGCUGAUUGUUGCGAGGCUCCCGAAGGAGUGCUCGUUAACCUCAUGGGUAAUCUUAUGACGGACGAGCAAAAGCAAUACAUGCUUUAUUAUUAUUAUAUAAAUUAUAAAUGUAUAGGGAAAGAAAUUUCUUCUCAAGAAUAUAUUGUAUAUAGCAGAUGAAACUAAGCUGCUGUGUAUUGUGUUUGUGUCCGAUCCCUAGUCCCUACACCUUGAUGUCUAUAGUGUGCUCCACCGCAGCCGACGACGCGUCCACCGUCAAAGUGCGCACGGCGGGCGAGCCAAGCGACGGGUGAGUCACCGUGAAGUUGUACUCGCCGUGGACGAGGUCCAGCUCGGUCACGCCGUUGGCGUCCAUGGUGGCGCCCUCCGGGUGCGUCCUCCAUUCAGCGAUGAGCUUGUCGACGCGGUCGCCGGCGGGAAGAUUCUUGAAGUUGUUGUCCGUGAGGCACAUGGCCCAGCAGCCCUGCGCGUGCCAGGCCGCCCACAUCACCAUGCCCUCCACGUUGGGGUGCCCGUAGCCUUCCCUCAGCACCUCCUCCAGGUAGAUCGGCACGUAGGGGCCGGCAUUCCGGUUGACGUCGACCUCAGUGAGCCAGAUGGGGACCCUGAGCUGCGCGAGCAUGUCCAGCGUCGCCCUCAUGUAGGGGAUGUUGGGCGUGCCGAAGUGGCUCUCGAGGCCGACGGCGAGCUUGAUGCCGCGGUUGCCGGGGUAGGAGCGUAUCUGCUGCAGCUUGGCGACGUACUUGCUGGACAUGGCAGCCGCGUCCAGCGGCUCCUCCAGCGUGCCGAACUCGUUCAUGAACAGCCUCGCCGUCCGGUCGAUCCGCGCCACCCGAUGGUACACCUCGGACGACGCGUUGCGGCCGAGCCUGCUCUCGAAGAAGUGCCCGUGGAGGUUCUCGUUCACCACGUCCCACGCGAUGACCUUGCCGGCGUACCGCGACACCACGGAGCUGAUGCGCUUCUGCAUGGCCGCCUUGAGCCGCUGCGCGUCCAGCGGCUUCACCCACGACACCUGCGUGUCGUUGGUGUCCCAGAGCACGUUGUGGCCGCGCACCGCGAUGCCGUGCUUCUCGGCGAGCCGCAGCAUGGCGUCCGCGACGGUGUAGUCCUCGUGGUUCUCCAUCCACUCCGUGCUGUACCACUUCAUCUCGUUCUCGAAGCUGGCCACGGUGAACCGGGACGCGAACCACUGCUCGUAGGCCGGGAUGUCGAGGAUCUCCUUGGUCAUGGCGUUGCCGAACGGGAAGCCGGGCCGGAGGAGCUUGACGCUCAGGUUGGCGUUCGGCAGUGGGACGCCGUCGGCGCCCCGGGCGACCACCUUGACGGCGCUCCGGCGGGUCUUCCCGGCCGACAGACGGCGUUGCUCGUCCCACUCGGGGAAGGAGAAGGGCUGCAGAGACACGCUGUCCACCCAGAUGUCCACCCUACCAUCGGCCUGUACAAGCGAACUUUAGUUUCCCUUUUUGGCGUUGAACAAUUAAUUCAUGCGUAAUCAUUCGAUCUACCUCGAAGAAGAGCUCGCCUGGGCCGGAAGCAAAGGCGGUCAUGCCGCCCUUGAGCAUGCUCCAGCAGCCGGACCUGGCGACGGUGGCUCCACCGGCGAUGAAGGCGCCGUUGGGAUCCUUGAAGACGGAUCUCACCACCGCCGUGCCGGACGAAACCUGCAACCAUGCUGCAUGCAUGCAUGCAUGGAGCCAUAUAUAUACGGGCACACAUGAGCAACAAGAAAAUACAGCAUAUCACAAGAUCACGAGUAAAUGACGAUGGUGCAGUACGGAGUAUAUGCUUGAGUUUACAUACCCGAGAGGGAGUAGUGGUGGGCGGUUUCCAUCUGGAUCUUCUGGUAGACGCUGCGCGACGGCUGGCCAUUGUUGCUCGCCGACGCCAACGCGAAGUUGUUGCCGGACGGCGAGCUGCUCACGUUGGCCGUCACGCCCCACGGCACCGACCAGCCCGUCAGGCCGCUGUUGAACUCGCUGUUCUCGAUAAUGCCGCCUUUGUACAGAGACCUCAUCGGGCUGCUCAAGCACUGGAUAACAAGAUCAAAACAACAUCCUUUAGUUUCAAGAUAAGAAGGAACACAAAUCCAACAAUAUAUCCAGUAAUUGGCAGAAAAAAGGUACUACUUGCCUUAAUGCUCGCGGUAUAAUCAUAGGGAACCGACUGGACCAUCCACCCUACAUACAUAUACAUCAUUAGCAUAUCUUACAAUGUGCAAUCGGUGGAAACUUGAAACACGCAGCAAACCGCAAGGAACUUCACUGGUGUUGGAAAUACAAACUGUGGUAAUAUGAACUUGGGAAAACUAACCUUCAAACAGCGAAAUGCAGAGCAAAAAAGCGAGCAAUUUCCCCAUGGUAACCACCAGUGUGUAUGUCACUUCUUCUUUUUUUUCCUUUUUUUUUCGAAGUGAUAUGUCACUUCUACUGAACUGGUGGUAUGUUUUAGUUGACGGAGAGAAGUGAAUAUAUAGGCAUAGGGUAAUUAAUCCGUGCUUGAUAAUGCCAAAGGCGGUGUGUUGCUGAUUGUUUCAAUCUUUGACUCUAAGUCAGCUCGAACGCAAAAAGGGGGGGAAAUCUUUGGCUCAAGCGGAAGACUAGGCAGGAGGAGCAACAUUUGUGCAUUAUGUGUGAAUGCAUUAAAAUCGUGCUACUUAUGGCUUUUUUUUCAAGGAAAAAGUGAAUUUUAUUUCAUAUAUUGAUAGGGUUACAAUCCAGAGAUAGUAAUUGCUCCAUACAAGGAGGAUCUUGACCAAGCCACACAGCGGUCAUCAUAAUAUAAUGCCCAACAAUCUGCUACCCUGUUUUGCUCUCUCGUAAGCUUCUAGAGAAUGAACUUCCGGCUACAACUAAGUGCCCAUACGCCGACCUGCUAAGUCUAGAAUCGGAAAGACUUGACAGUGCUGCAGAAGAUCAAGUCAGUAUCUUUUGUCCCACUAAAAAACCAUAUAUUUGGAUAUACAUGCAAGUAAUUAGUUUAUGCCAAAAUUAAGUCAAUACGAAUAGAUACCGUGAAUAUUUGUCAUAUAAUAAAUAAAGGAAAGCUUGGUAGCUAAUCAACCCAAUAUUCAACUUUGGGGAAUACUAAAUAUAGAAUUAAUUUUGCAUUCCAAUAUUCUUAGGAAAACGCUAUCUUACACCCGACGGAUGCACGCGCAGCGUCCGCCGCAUGCGUAGCCAUCGGAUCAAUCUUGAUCGAGCGCUUACGUUGGACGGCCACAAGUCGUGUGCAACCAAUUUUUUUGCAACAAUCGUAUUGUUUUUAGAAGGUUUCUACAACAGAGAUCUUGUUUCAGAAAUAAAUAAAUAAAGAUUCGGUGGUGAAGUUUUUUUCAGCAACAGGGUCUAAUUUUAGAAAGUUUCUGCAACAGAGGUCUUGUUUUAGAAAAAGAAAUGGUUCAGCAGCGAAGAUUUUUUUCUUCUGCAACAGGGAUCUUGCUUCAGAUACAUAGCCCCGGUUGUAGAAAGCAUUGGAGGAGCGCACGAUGUUAGAGUGUACGAGACCAAGCAUUGCAACACGACACAUGUUUCAGAAACGUAGCUUCAGUUGCAGAAAUCGUCAAAGGAGUGCCCAGCAUGGGAGCUCAUCGCCGUCAUGCUGGAGUAGAGGUCGUGCCUGUUCUCCAAGCAGGGCCCCUCGGUGAGCUCGAUUUGCGUCGGAUCCAAGCAUCUAACGUGUGAUAUGGUGCGCCAUUGUGUUGCGAAGAGUUUAAUUUAGCUCUUGCACACCGGCGGCGGGCUGAUUUUGGGGGCGGGUUGGCGGCGGCGCUGCGUUGGGCGCAGCUCUGUCGGGGCCGGGGUCAAGUUUGUUGUCUUUGUUUCUGCAACAACGCGCGUGUUGCUGGAAUAAUAAGGGGGGCAUGGGGGACGCGCACACUAGAUCGGACGGUGAUGUCUACUACACAACCUUCUUCUUGUAGACGUUGUUGGGCCUCCAAGUGCAGAGGUUUGUAGGACAGUAGCAAAUUUCCCUCAAGUGGAUGACCUAAGGUUUAUCAAUCCGUAGGAGGCGUAGGAUGAAGAUGGUCUCUCUCAAGCAACCCUGCAACCAAAUAAUAAAAAGUCUCUUGUGUCCCCAACACACCCAAUACAAUGGUAAAUUGUAUAGGUGCACUAGUUCGGCGAAGAGAUGGUGAUACAAGUGCAAUAUGGAUAGUAGAUAAUAGUAUUUGUAAUCUGAAAUUAUAAAAACAGCAAGGUAACUCAUGAUAAAAGUGAGCGUAAACGGUAUUGCAAUGCGUUGGAACAAGGCCUAGGGUUCAUACUUUCACUAGUGCAAGUCCUCUCAACAAUUAUAACAUAAUUGGAUCAUAAAACUAUCCCUCAACAUGCAACAAAGAGUCACUCCAAAGUCACUAAUAGCGGAGAACGAACGAAGAGAUUAUGGUAGGGUACGAAACCACCUCAAAAUUAUUCUUUCCAAUCAAUCCGUUGGGCUAUUCCUAUAAGUGUCACAAACAGCCCUAGAGUUCGUACUAGAAUAACACCUUAAGACACAAAUCAACCAAAACCCUAAUGUCACCUAGAUACUCUAAUGUCACCUCAAGUAUCCGUGGGUAUGAUUAUACGAUAUGCGUCACACAAUCUCAGAUUCAUCUAUUCAACCAACACAAAGGACCUCAAAUAGUGCCCCAAAAUUCUACCGGAGAAUCACGACGAAAACGUGUGCCAACCCCUAUGCAUAGGUUCAUGGGCGAAACCCGCAAGUUGAUCACCAAAACAUACAUCAAGUGAAUCACGUGGUAUCCCAUUGUAACCACAGAUACGCACGGCAAGACAUACAUCAAGUGUUCUCAAAUCUUUAAAGACUCAAUCCGAUAGGAUAACUUCAAAGGGGAAACUCAAUCCAUUACAAGAGAGUAGAGGGGGAAGAAAUAUCAUAGGAUCCAAAUAUAAUAGCAAAGCUCGCGAUACAUCAAGAUCGUGCCAAAUCAAGAACACGAGAGAGAGAGAUCAAAUACAUAGCUACCGGUACAUACCCUCAGCCCCGAGGGAGAACUACUCCCUCCUCGUCAUGGAGAGCACCGGGAUGAUGAAGAUGGCCACCGGAGAGGGAUUUCCCCCUCCGGCAGGGUGCCGGAACGGGUCUAGAUUGGCUUUCGGUGGCUAUGGAGGCUUCUGGCGGCGGAACUCCCGAUCUAAUCUCCGUUCUGGAAGUUUUACGAUACGUAGGUAUAUAUGGGUACAAGGGGUACGUAGGUGGACCGAAGGGGGGGCCACGAGGGAGGGGGCGCGACCCAGGGGGUGGGCGCGCCCCUACCCUCGUGAGCACCUCCUUCAUCUUCUGACGUAGGGUUCAAGUCUAUCCGGUAGGUUUCCUUCCAAAAAUAACUGCUCCAGUUGAUUUCAUUCCGUUUUGACUCCGUUUGAUAUUUCUUUUCCUCGGAACACUGAAAUAGGCAUAAAACAACAAAUCUGGGUUGGGCCUCCGGUUAAUAGGUUAGUCCCAAAAAUAAUAUAAAAGUGGAAAAUAAAGCCCAAUAUUACCCAAAACAGUAGAUAAUAUAGCAUGGAGCAAUCAAAAAAUUAUAAAUACGUUGGAGACGUAUCAGUUGCCAGCCAAGGGAUAAACACGAGAGACUGCCUGAACUCCUUCAAUGGGCUGGGUGAAGCUUUGACGAUCAACAUUGUGAAGAUAAAUUGGAUCCUUUGCAGGCUCUGGGUAAAUAGCUUCAACAGACAGAUCAACCUCUGGCAAGAAUACAAGAUGAUUGCGCGCAGAUGGCUGAUAGUUGAAGGCAGAGUGAAGCUUGAUAAGACGCAUUACCCAUGGAGCAUAGAACUUCAGACCAAAGAUGUCGGAGCCAGAUGCAGCCAACUGCCUGAUGAAGAAGUCUUGAGCAUUGAAGUUUAUGCCAUUGAAGAUAUAGAAAACCAAAGUCUUCAUUGCUCCUUCAAGCUUCGCUGUAGAUGAAUGUCCUUUGACAGGCCAUAGAGUCUUUCUGAUGAUAUGGUAAAUGGUGCGGGGCAGAUACUCUAGGUCUUCAACAAAGAAUUCGGUUGGGUAUUUAGCGUCGCGUGGCAAAGGCUUCAUCAUGCUCAGCAUUUGACUCAUGAAGAUGGUCUCUCUCAAGCAACCCUGCAACCAAAUACAACAAAGAGUCUCUUGUGUCCCCAACACACCCAAUACAAUGGUAAAUUGUAUAGGUGCACUAGUUCGAUGAAGAGAUGGUGAUACAAGUGCAAUAUGGAUAGUAGAUAAUAGUUUUUGUAAUCUGAAAUAAUAAAAACAGCAAGGUAGCAAGUGAUAAAAGUGAGCGUAAACGGUAUUGCAAUGAUGGUAAACAAGGCCUAGGGUUCAUACUUUCUCUAGUGUAAGUUCCCUUAACAAUACUAACAUAAUUGGAUCACAUAACUAUCCCUCAACAUGCAAAAAAGAGUCACUCCAAAGUCACUAAUAGCGGAGAAGGAACGAAGAGAUUAUGGUAGGGUACGAAACCACCUCAAAGUUAUUCUUUCCAAUCAAUCCGUUCGGCUAUUCCUAUAAGUGUCACAAACAGCCUUAGAGUUCGUACUAGAAUAACACCUUAAGACACAAAUCAACCAAAACCCUAAUGUCACCUAGAUACUUCAUUGUCACCUCAAGUAUCCGUGGACAUGAUUAUACGAUAUGCAUCACACAAUCUCAGAUUCAUCUAUUCAACCAACACAAAGGACCUCAAAGAGUGUCCCAAAGAUCUACCGGAGAAUCACGACGAAAACGUGUGCCAACCCCUAUGCAUAGGUUCAUGAACCCGCAAGUUGGUCACCUUAACAUACAUCAAGUGGCACGCGGUAUCCCAUUGUCACCACAGAUAUCCACGGUAAGACAUACAUCAAGUGUUCUCAAAUCUUUAAACACUCAAUCCGAUAAGAUUACUUCAAAGGGGAAACUCGAUCCAUUACAAGAGAGAAGAGGGGGGAAGAAACAUCAUAGGAUCCAAAUAUAAUAGCAAAGCUCGCGAUACGUCAAGAUCGUAUCAUCUCAAGAACACGACAGAGAGAGAGAGAGAUCAAACACAUAGCUACUGGUACAUACCCUCAGCCCCGAGGGAGAACUACUUCCUCCUCGUCAUGGAGAGCACCGGGAUGAUGAAGAUGGCCACCGGAGAGGGAUUGCCCCCUUCGGCAGGGUGCCGGCACGGGUCUAGAUUGGUUUUCGGUGGCUACGGAGGCUUCUGGCGGCGGAACUCCCGAUCUAAAUUCUGUUCUGGAAGUUUUAGGGUAUAUGGAGUUAUAUAGGCAGAAGAAGCACGUCAGGGGAGCCACGGGGGCCCCAUCAGGCAGGGGGCGCGCCCUAGGGGGGUGGGCGCGCCCCCCACCCUCGUGGGCAGCUCCCGUAUCUUCUGACGUGGAGUCCAAGUCCAUCAGGUGUGUUUCCUUCCAAAAAUAACUUCUCCAGUUGAUUUCGUUGCGUUUCGACUCUGUCUGAUAUUCCUUUUCUUCAAAACACUGAAAUAGGCAUAAAACAACAAAUCUGGGCUGGGCCUCCGGUUAAUAGGUUAGUCCCAAAAAUAAUAUAAAAGUGGAUAAUAAAGCCCAAUAUUGCCCAAAACAGUAGAUAAUAUAGCAUGGAGCAAUCAAAAAUUAUAGAUAUGUUGGAGACGUAUCAGACGGCUAACAGCUCAGGGAUCCAACGGCUUUUCAGGCGGCGGAUAAUUUCAGUACAUCUACCGACGGACGCGUAGCAGCGCCCAUAUUCUUAGGUCACUCUCAAUUCAUUGUAUCUUAAUCCUGAAACAUGCUAUAAUCGGAAACCCCCGGCACAUGGAUCACAACAUCACCAAACAUACACCCAACGAAAAUACAUAGACCAAGGCAUCGGAGAACACCAAAUGGACGGUGCAUUCAUCAAGAAGCCGUAGAUGCCUUCCUAAUAUCGACGUUGCAUCCAUCAAGCAGCCGUAGACGACUUCCUAAUACCGCCAUUCUUCUUGCUUUUGAUCCUAAAAUACUUCUAUUUCAGGCUGCGGAUCAGCCAGCGCGCCUCUUCUCAAUUUCCCUGGCGAUUAGGAUCCAACCAAUUGUCUUGCCAAAUUCAGGGUAGCAGCCUCCAAGCUAGCAAUAAAGUCGUAAAGCUUUAAUGCGAAAAGAGCAUUGCGAGUAGGUGCAAAUGCACCGGACGCAAUGACCUUGUGACCCUCUGAACCACUUACCUGAUAGACUCUAGCGAGUGAAAGACAAUAGCAUCCAAACCUACGCGCUCCAUGAAGGCGAGAGGUUGGUUGGGUUCCAGUAAUGGCAGUGUGGGCGCUAAGGUCACAAGCAAGACUACCCCUAGAUGCACCAUCAAAAGAGACAAACCAGCCACCCCACGUAGUUGCUGAAGUUCUAACAUGGUUUGAGAAACCGGAGGAACGACCCGAAGAUGGCCUCAAUUCCAGAGGCAGACGGCACAACGGACGGUGACUUCAAGACCUGACACAAGGUGAGAAACAACCAUAGAGGUAUGUUUUCCCCUCACUCAUGGAACCCAAGAGCUAGGCCAGUAGAGGCACAACUAGGAGCCCUCCAAGAAGAGCCUGUGGCUCACCAAAAUCCUCCGAACUCUCAUUAGGCAACCUUGCAGUUCAGCUUGUUGCGUGAGGACGCUCUGCAAUGAUACAUCUAUCGGGGUUGCAACGUUGGCGUGUAAAGGCAUUGUGGGAAGCGGUGGUGCAACACAUCAGAGCUGCGUAUUCAGGUUGAUGGAGAGCUUUGCAUGGCCAAAUCAAAUGGUGUCACCGGGUCAUAGGUAGUUCGUGCACCGAAUUGCGUCCCUGCGGGAGCGGGCUCAACGACCUUUUGAGAGGCACCAAAAGCAUUGGUCCCUCAUCCACGCCGGAGGAGCCACAUAUGUGUUGCAAGCAGGAUGGUGGAAGGCCGGUGAAGGCGGUGAGCCGCAACGCCUUGCCUUGACGAGGUGUUAGUCCCCAACAAUUCCCCACGACGUGUUGGAUCGCAACACAAGUAAGUAGCAGGCUUCAUGUCUCGGUUGAUACAACUACACCCUUCACCCUAACCAAGGCGCAUGGGAGAGGCCACUAGGGCGAACAUGUCACAUCCAGCAAUGGCACGCGACAAACUUGUGAGGACGACCGGUGUAGGAGGUGGCAGCAACGUUCGAGGAGUGGUCAUCAUUGAGGUCAGGUUCUCAUCGUUGGGGGAAGCCAGACGUGGGGUCGGCGUGGAUGGCCAGGCGUAGAAGGUGAUGGGGACCCAAGCACCUGCUCAAUCUGGUUAGGAGCACGUCCCUCCUGAGGCGGCGGAGGCGGCCUCCAAAUAUGGUGCGGCAACUGGGGUAGCCAACGCCAGAGGAGAUGGGUCAUGGGGCCGGUAGGCGUGCCCAUGCAGAGGCGGCAGCGGGGACCCGAGCCUCCUAGGAGUUGACACACAUGUACCUAUAUAUUGUGAGGGGGCAGAGCUCGGCGUCCACCCCAUUUCCAGGCAUGGCAUAGGCAACACAAUGAUCUUGUCUAGCUCCUCCCAAUAUGGAACGGGCAAGGGUGGUGGAGGAAGACAGGCCGUCACUGGACUCCACCUGAAGGGAUCGAUGUCGUGGGAGUUGUAGCAGGCCGGAGGAGGCACCGGUCAAGGUAGUGGGUCCAGAGUUGGUGCCUUUGCAGCCUAGGGAAGGAGUGAGCGUGCCACCAACCAUCCUCCAAUGGCAGGAACGGAUUUGCGGAUGGCAAGCGCGACCACAUGAAAAGUGGUGGUGUGCAGCGGGGCCGGAGUGAUUGUCGUCAUGGGGGCGUGUCGGAGCAGUUUCCAUUGACAAUAGUAACAUUUUUGUAUAAAACUAUGUUGCUUAUAGAAGUAUGUAUCAAGUUCUUGUCCACAGGUGUUGAAUGAACGUGGUCCAGUGAUAACGAUGCACCGGUGGUUUCUGAGUUUUCGGUCCUUGUGCCUCACAGUAUACUUGUCCUUAGAAGAUUUCUUAUAGUAAAAUACAAGAGGAAAUACAAAAAGACUUUGACAAAUCUUUAAGCUUCAAGCAUCCCUUGAAUUGUGUGUGACCGCCAACUAUCGUACCGACACCCAUUUCAAAGUUUUGAGGGAGGGAGGAGGGGAUUGCAAAAAGAAAAGAAAAAGGAAACAAAAGAUGGGAUAACGGCACAGGGUGACGCCUAUGCAGAGGGUGUGCUAUUGUUAAUUAUGGUUCAGCCUUAUCUCCUCAUCCUAAGGUUAAUUAGUCAGGAGUCAGGACCCUAAUAACCAGCGAACGUUUCUGGGAGGGAGUGUGGCAAUUACGAACCUUCUUUAUGGCAAUUUCUUUCAAAACACAUGACAAAUUCUGGCAAACAGAGCAUUUGCUGCGGAAACUGACAUGUUCACAUGAAGGAAUUGUCAUACACCCAACACUGCGGAAACUUAGUUUUGACAUGCACAUUCAGCGAACGUUCGUUGAAUAGCAUCACAGUUCACAUUUUCAGCAUGAUCUUCUCAGUGUAUUUUUUCGCAAGCUUUUCAAAAGAAAGAGGAAGCAGACAACUAAACUGCAGCUGGCUCCAAUAGUUCCUUGGGCUGAAAUUGUGAAGCUAUCGAGCCUCGAUGGCACCUCUUCCUUGGAUGGACUCAUGGACAUAUGCCUGCCUGCAUUUUCCCUCCGGCCACGCCAUCGGCCUCUCCAUCGCCUGUCCAUGCCCGCCCUUAGCAGGACAAUUCAUCGCCGACGCAUCAUCGUAUAUAUCCAGCCCAAAGCCACAACAGAGAACUCUAGACCGCUGGCCACAUCCUCUGCUGGCCUGGAGUCUUUGGAUACCCUUUUUUCUUAGACGUUUAUGGGUGCUUUCUGUUGGAGUCUUUGGACACUCUUUCCAUAAAGCGAAAGGCAGUGACAAAAUACGUUGCGAAAACAACACACAUUUGCCAAAAUUACACUCUUCCCAUAAAACGGAAGGCGGUGACAAAAUACGUUGCGAAAACAACACACAUUUGCCAAAAUUGACACGCUGUGAAGCAUGCACACCCAUGCAUCUACGGUGUCCGACGACGACGCCAGAGCUUUAGCUAGCUGUCCACAACAACAACGGCCGAGCAGGACGUGAGCAACGUAUAUACGUGGCCGGCGAACCCAUAGCUUCAGCUAGCUGUUGUGGACAGCACAACGGCGGUCGAGCAGGACAUGAGCCAGAUGGCGGGCGAACCCAUAGCCUGAGUUAGCUCUGCACUGCACAGCACAGCAACGGCAGAGGUGGACAUGAGCCACAUGUGCAAGCUUGGACGUACGUGCAUGGCUUGUGCGUGAUCGUCAUGCAUGCAUGCAGAGCACGAGGCGAGGCGGCAACUUUUCGUCCCAGCCCUUGUAGGUAUAAACCACCCUCGGCCCGCCCUCGCGCUAGCAGAUAUACAUUGAGUCAAUGACCAGUGUGUAGUAAGCGGUGAAGUGAGGGUUCUGGUUGCAGUUUCUGGGCUCGGCGCCCUGUUUUUAACGGGGGCUCGCGUCUUCGUCUCAGCCACCAAGCCACUGCUCUCGCCUGAACUAUUUUCUGCCAUUGGAGCUCAGGAGCAAAAGCCUAUAGUCACUAGUCCAUCAAAGGUUGUUCGGAUGGCUGUCAUCGGGACGGCGGGGGCGGAGGUACUGAUACCGCUGGCGGCGGUGAUCGGCAUCGCCUUCGCGGUGUUCCAGUGGUACGUGGUGGCCAAGGUGCCGGUCCCAUCCCACGACGGCGAGGAUGGCGGCGGCGCCGCCGCCCAGAAAGGCCGCAGCGGGCACGAUGAGAGUGCGGAGGACGGCGUGGACUACCGGCAGGUGGAGGCCCGGUGCGCCGAGAUCCAGCACGCCAUCUCCAUCGGUGCCACGUCCUUCCUCUUCACGGAGUACAGGUAUACACACGCCUUUGAUGUCAAAUUUUGCUUUCCAAAAUGUUUUUGGUGCCACUUGCAUAGAGAUGAAAAAUAAAAAACACGCUAGUAAUAUAUUGUUUCUUUUUAUUACUGUUAGUAUUAUUUUUAGCAAGUAAUAUUGGCAUGUUUUUGAGGUUGCGUGCUGAUUCAACUUAAUUACAGAUGACUAGCAAAAAUCAUGGUACAAUGCAACAAAAAAAAACACUUUUUGCGGAAAAUGCCAAAAAAAUGUUUGGCUUCUAGUAUAUAGUACUGAUAGUGCCAAAAAAAAUGUCUUAUAUUUGUUACGGAAGGAGUGUAAUAUAAUAUUUUUCUCUUAUUGUUAUUUUUAGCAAUUAACAUUUGCAUGCAUUUUUAUCUUAUGUGAUGAUUAAACUUAAAAAAAUACUAUAUGAAUAACUGAAAUCAAGGUACAAAUGACAAAAGAUAUAUUAUUUGCAGAAAAUACUAAUAAAAUGUUUGGGUAAUGUUAUUCAGCGAACCCUCACAGGGGGUACAUGACCAGAGAAACGUCUUUCGCGACAAUUUAUGUGUUGGUAGCAUGGCAAUUCUUUCAAGCGAACACUGCAAUUUCACAGCAAAAUUCUUUGUUUACCAGAAUUUGCCAUGUGUGUUUGAAGAACUUGCCAUAAAAAACACAAAUAAAUGCCGUGCUUCCAGGGGUAUAUGUUUGUCUUAGCAAACGUUCUCCUAAUAAAUAUUUAGCCAGACAAAAAUUUCAUCAAGAUUUUGCUUGCCGCUGUCGGCCAACAUUUACAGGAAAGAAAAGAAGGAUUGGCCUGUACCAAAAAAUUGCAAACAUCCGAGUAUUUAACAAAAAACUACCACAUUUCAUGGAACCGUGCCUACAAACUACCACUUUACAAAUUUGUGCCGAAAACUACCAUUUUCGACUAUUUUUUCUCAAAAAACACUAAUUUCUGCCUCAUGGUAGUUUGCUGAAAUUAAACAUGAUUAUGACAGGGAUGGCCCACACUUAGGCGCUGACAUGACACAGUGGUCAACUCCUAGGCCGUGCCGCACGAGAGAUGCACGCGAGCCACGCGCCGCGCCCGCCCCCACCGCCGGCCGGCGAGCAGCGCCACCUCUGCCAUCGGUCGAAGCCAGCGUCGUGUGCUAGCUAGCCGGCCAAUGGAGCAUUGCGGUCGUGCUAGCAUGCAGCCGUAGCAGCUUGUGUGCGUGCACAGCCGUGCACGUAGCCGCCGUNNNNNNNNNNNNNNNNNNNNNNNNNNNNNNNNNNNNNNNNNNNNNNNNNNNNNNNNNNNNNNNNNNNNNNNNNNNNNNNNNNNNNNNNNNNNNNNNNNNNNNNNNNNNNNNNNNNNNNNNNNNNNNNNNNNNNNNNNNNNNNNNNNNNNNNNNNNNNNNNNNNNNNNNNNNNNNNNNNNNNNNNNNNNNNNNNNNNNNNNNNNNNNNNNNNNNNNNNNNNNNNNNNNNNNNNNNNNNNNNNNNNNNNNNNNNNNNNNNNNNNNNNNNNNNNNNNNNNNNNNNNNNNNNNNNNNNNNNNNNNNNNNNNNNNNNNNNNNNNNNNNNNNNNNNNAUGGCGGCCGCCAUCGUGCCAAGGCCUCGCCCGCCGCGAGCGUGUGCGCCGUCGGCCGCGAGCGCGUGCUCCGUCCGCCGCUUGCGCCACACAUCGCUCCGCCCAGCCCGCGCCACCCGCCGCUCUUCCCCGCCGGCCGGCGUGCCCCGCCACCUGCGCCGCCCUCCCUCCUAGCCGAGCCGCCUGCUCGCCUCGGCCAUGGCGGCCGCCAUCGUGCCAAGGCCUCGCCCCGCCCCGCUCGGCCCUGUCGACCGAGCCCCCGCCUUUGCACCUCGUGUACGCCAUCGACGGGGAGACCAGCGCCGAAGAGGUGCUUCGCCGGGGCGCCGCUCUGCCCCGCCGGAGAAGAGCGUGGAGUACAUACGAGGUGUUUGAGGAAAUGCCAGAAAGAGAGGAGGAGGAGGAGGAAGAAGAUUCAUGCUGAUAUGUGGGCCCAUCCUGUCAGAAAAGCGUUUAGAAGAGGCCAAUCGGGCACUUUUCUGAGAUGGUAGUUUUUAGUCAAAGAUUAGUCAAAAAGUGAUAGUUUUUGGCACAAAUUUGUAAAGUGGUAGUUUGUAGGCACGGUUUCGCGAAAUGUGGUAGUUUUUUGUUAAAUACUCCAAACAUCCAAACAAGCAAAAACAUUUGUCGAAAAAAUGGUAUGAUGGGUAUUGAAUUGGCCAGUAUCUAAGCAUGCCCAAAAAAUAUUACCUGGUGAUGAACUAGAUUUUCACUUGAAAUGGGUGGAUUCCUACCGAAGUUUGAAGAAAUUCAUUAAAAUAUGAAUUGUAUUGAGUCUGGCUUGAACUCGUGUGUCAGGCGAAUAUUUUGACAGAUAGUCAAAAAAUUUAUCCUAUUGAUGAAUUCAGGUACCUCGCCGUGUUCAUGGCUGGGUUCGCGGUGGUGAUCUUCAUGUUCUUGGGGUCGGCGCAGCGUUUCAGCACGCGGCCAGAGCCAUGCACGUACGACCCGGCGCGGCUGUGCCGGCCGGCGCUAGCGAACGCGGCCUUCAGCAUGAUCGCGUUCCUCCUGGGCGCGCUCACCUCCGUCAUGUCCGGGUACCUCGGGAUGCGCGUGGCGACGUUCGCGAACGCGCGCACGGCGCUCGAGGCUCGCCGCGGCGUGGGGCGCGCCUUCGUCGUGGCGUUCCGGUCUGGCGCCGCCAUGGGCUUCCUCCUCGCGUCCAGCGCGCUGUUCGUCCUCUACGUCGCCAUCAACCUCUUCGGCGUCUACUACGGCGACGACUGGGGCGGGCUGUACGAGUCCAUCACCGGCUACGGCCUCGGCGGCUCGUCCAUGGCCCUCUUUGGCCGCGUCGGCGGCGGCAUCUACACCAAGGCCGCCGACGUCGGCGCCGACCUCGUCGGCAAGGUGGAGCGCAACAUCCCCGAGGAUGACCCUCGCAACCCCGCGGUACGUACUGAGAAUUACUACCAAAGUUGAAAAAAAUACUCCAUGUUUUCCAUGCAUGUCCCUGACCCUGAGACGAUCGAUGCUGUGCGCGUGCAGGUGAUCGCUGACAACGUGGGGGACAACGUCGGCGACAUCGCCGGGAUGGGGUCGGACCUGUUCGGGUCGUACGCGGAGUCGUCGUGCGCGGCGCUGUUCGUGGCGUCCAUCUCGUCGUUCGGGACGGAGCACAACUUCGCGGCGAUGAUGUACCCGCUGCUCAUCAGCGCCAUGGGCAUCGUGGUGUGCUUGGCCACCACGGUCGUCGCCACCGACCUCGCCGAGGUGAAGACCGUCGAGGAGAUCGGGCCGGCGCUCAAGCGGCAGAUCCUCAUCUCCACCGUGCUCAUGACCGUCGGCAUCGCCAUCGUCAGCUUCCUCGUCCUGCCCCACAGCUUCACCCUCUUCGACUUCGGCAGGCGCAAGCUCGUCAAGAACUGGUACGCCAACUCGAUCUGAGACUCGAUCUCGUCGUACUACGCCAUUUUCCUUGAGAUCCUCAAUUUAGUACAAAAUGCAAAUUGAUACACUUUUAUAUUCAUGAACAAUUAUCGAUGGAUUUGACAUUUGGUUUUGUAUGACUUUGCGAAUGCAGGUACCUGUUCAUCUGUGUGUCCGCCGGUUUGUGGGCAGGUCUUGUCAUCGGCUAUGUCACAGAGUACUUCACAAGCAACGCUUACAGGUAAUAGAAAUUAUACAACUUACAAAAAUUGCACGAACUUGAGCUAAGACGGGAUAGAUGCUGAUUACUUAAUCUCUGCUUAAAUUGUUCGACGCAUGUAUAUGUAGGCCGGUGCAGGCGGUGGCGAACUCAUGCCGGACGGGAGCGGCGACGAACGUGAUCUUCGGGCUAGCGGUGGGAUACAAGUCGGUGAUCGUGCCCAUCUUCGCCAUCGCGACAGCCAUCUACGCCAGCUUCCGCCUCGCCGCCAUGUACGGCAUCGCGCUGGCGGCGCUGGGCAUGCUCAGCACCAUCGCCACGGGGCUCAGCAUCGACGCCUACGGCCCCAUCAGCGACAACGCCGGCGGCAUCGCCGAGAUGUCCGGCAUGCCGCACGUGGUCCGCGAGCGCACGGACGCACUCGACGCCGCCGGCAACACCACCGCCGCCAUCGGCAAAGGGUUCGCGAUCGGGUCGGCGGCGCUGGUGUCGCUGGCGCUGUUCGGCGCCUACGUGAGCCGCGCCGGGGUCGCGGCGGUGGACGUGCUGAGCCCUCGGGUGUUCGCGGGGCUGCUGGUGGGGGCCAUGCUGCCCUACUGGUUCUCGGCGAUGACCAUGCGGAGCGUGGGGAGCGCGGCGCUGGCGAUGGUGGAGGAGGUGCGGCGGCAGUUCGACAGCAUCCCGGGGCUGAUGGAGGGCACGGCCAAGCCGGACUACGCCACCUGUGUCAAGAUCUCCACCGACGCGUCGCUCAAGAAGAUGCUGGCGCCCGGCGCGCUCGUCAUGCUCAGCCCGCUGGUCGCCGGCACGCUGUUCGGCACCGAGACGCUGGCCGGGCUCCUCGCCGGCGCGCUGGUGUCGGGAGUCCAGGUGGCGAUCUCAGCGUCCAACAGCGGCGGCGCCUGGGACAACGCCAAGAAGUACAUCGAGGCCGGCGCGUCGGCGGAGGCGCGGGCGCUGGGGCCCAAGGGGUCGGACGCGCACAAGGCGGCGGUCAUCGGCGACACCAUCGGCGACCCGCUCAAGGACACCUCCGGCCCGUCGCUCAACAUCCUCAUCAAGCUCAUGGCCGUCGAGGCGCUCGUCUUCGCGCCAUUCUUCGCCGCGCACGGCGGCCUCAUCUUCAAGCACCUCUGAGUUUGAAUUCCGAGUUCGCUCGGCUUGCUGCCUGGACCUGGAUGGCCAAGCAGAAGGCUUUCGUUGCCAAUAAUAACCUCUAGACUGGGAGAAUUGUAUGAGGUGAUGAAUGGUUAAUGGUUACUUUAGUUUCGGACUUUAUUCGAGUGCAAACCCGCCUUAGAAAUAAGCUCGUGGUGUAGCAAAUAGUCACUCUUAAGGCAUGACUUCUAAAUGCAGCAUGGAUGCUCGUCUCCGGGCCUUCAGCAGAGUGCCAUCACCGUGAGGCUGUGUUUGGCGCCGGUGGAUUAUCUUAAUCUUGCUUGUUUAAUCUCUCUGAUUUACUUCCUCCGUCCCAUAAUAUA
Molecule: long non-coding RNA, 37017 nt
Filed under: Triticum aestivum (bread wheat)
Lineage: Eukaryota; Viridiplantae; Streptophyta; Magnoliopsida; Poales; Poaceae
Description: long non-coding RNA (TAES_LNC015194)
Source: RNAcentral